This 305-nucleotide ribosomal RNA is filed under the name uncultured bacterium. RNAcentral's name for it is "bacterial SSU rRNA". It matches the Rfam family "Bacterial small subunit ribosomal RNA", at positions 334 to 636 of the family's 1533-position model. The record is from RNAcentral.
UCGCCCUACGGGGGGCAGCAGUGAGGAAUAUUGGUCAAUGGGCGGGAGCCUGAACCAGCCAAGUCGCGUGAGGGAAGACGGUCCUACGGAUUGUAAACCUCUUUUGCCGGGGAGCAACGGGGUCCUUGCGAGGGCCCGAUGAGAGUACCCGGAGAAAAAGCAUCGGCUAACUCCGUGCCAGCAGCCGCGGUAAUACGGAGGAUGCGAGCGUUAUCCGGAUUUAUUGGGUUUAAAGGGUGCGUAGGCGGAAUAUCAAGUCAGCGGUAAAAAUUCGGGGCUCAACCCCGUCGUGCCGUUGAAACUGG